UGGCUCAGGACGAACGCUGGCGGCAUGCCUAAUACAUGCAAGUCGAACGGACGAGGAGGAGCUUGCUCCUCCAAGUUAGUGGCGGACGGGCGAGUAACGCGUGGGCAACCUGCCUCUCAGUGGGGAACAACAGUUGGAAACGACUGCUAAUACCGCAUAACGCAGCGGGGUCGCAUGGCUCUGUUGCCAAAGGAUUUAUUCGCUGAGAGAUGGGCCCGCGUCCGAUUAGAUAGUUGGUGGGGUAACAGCCUACCAAGUCGACGAUCGGUAGCCGAACUGAGAGGUUGAUCGGCCGCAUUGGAACUGAGAUACGGUCCAGACUCCUACGGGAGGCAGCAGUAAGGGAUAUUGCACAAUGGGCGAAAGCCUGAUGCAGCAAUGCCGCGUGAGGGAAGACGGUCUUCGGAUUGUAAACCUAAGUAGUCAGGGACGAUAAUGACGGUACCUGAAGAGUAAGCUCCGGCUAACUACGUGCCAGCAGCCGCGGUAAUACGUAGGGAGCGAGCGUUGUCCGGAAUUACUGGGUGUAAAGGGUGCGUAGGCGGGCCUGCAAGUCAGAUGUGAAAUACCGGGGCUUAACUCCGGGGCUGCAUUUGAAACUGUGGGUCUUGAGUGAAGUAGAGGCAAGCGGAAUUCCCAGUGUAGCGGUGAAAUGCGUAGAUAUUGGGAGGAACACCAGUGGCGAAGGCGGCUUGCUGGGCUUUAACUGACGCUGAGGCACGAAAGUAUGGGGAGCAAACAGGAUUAGAUACCCUGGUAGUCCAUACCGUAAACGAUGAUUACUAGGUGUGGGGGGACUGACCCCCUCUGUGCCGCAGUUAACACAAUAAGUAAUCCACCUGGGGAGUACGACCGCAAGGUUGAAACUCAAAGGAAUUGACGGGGGCCCGCACAAGCAGUGGAGUAUGUGGUUUAAUUCGACGCAACGCGAAGAACCUUACCAGGUCUUGACAUCCAACUAACGAGGUAGAGAUACGUCAGGUGCCCUUCGGGGAAAGUUGAGACAGGUGGUGCAUGGUUGUCGUCAGCUCGCGUCGUGAGAUGUUGGGUUAAGUCCCGCAACGAGCGCAACCCUUGUUUUUAGUUGCUACGCAAGAGCACUCUAAAGAGACUGCCGUUGACAAAACGGAGGAAGGUGGGGACGACGUCAAAUCAUCAUGCCCUUUAUGACCUGGGCUACACACGUACUACAAUGGCUGUUAACAGAGGGAAGCAAAACCGCGAGGUGGAGCAAAACCCUAAAAGCGGUCUCAGUUCAGAUUGCAGGCUGCAACUCGCCUGCAUGAAGUUGGAAUUGCUAGUAAUCGCGGAUCAGCAUGCCGCGGUGAAUACGUUCCCGGGCCUUGCACUCACCGCCCGUA
RNAcentral lists this ribosomal RNA (1361 nucleotides) under uncultured bacterium. RNAcentral describes it as "bacterial SSU rRNA". It matches the Rfam family "Bacterial small subunit ribosomal RNA", at positions 20 to 1398 of the family's 1533-position model. The record is from RNAcentral.